RNAcentral lists this ribosomal RNA (253 nucleotides) under uncultured bacterium. Its description in RNAcentral is "partial 16S ribosomal RNA". It matches the Rfam family "Bacterial small subunit ribosomal RNA", at positions 524 to 776 of the family's 1533-position model. The record is from RNAcentral.
UACGGGGGGGGCAAGCGUUGUUCGGAAUCACUGGGCGUAAAGGGCGCGUAGGCGGAUCUUUAAGUCGGGGGUGAAAGCCCAGGGCUCAACCCUGGAAUUGCCUUCGAUACUGAAGAUCUCGAGACCGGAAGAGGUAAGUGGAACUGCGAGUGUAGAGGUGAAAUUCGUAGAUAUUCGCAAGAACACCAGUGGCGAAGGCGGCUUACUGGUCCGGUUCUGACGCUGAGGCGCGAAAGCGUGGGGAGCAAACAGG